Molecule: long non-coding RNA, 1511 nt
Filed under: Lepisosteus oculatus (spotted gar)
Lineage: Eukaryota; Metazoa; Chordata; Actinopteri; Semionotiformes; Lepisosteidae
Description: lncRNA (ENSLOCG00000022390.1)
Source: RNAcentral
CAUAUUUGAGGAUAAGUAUUGUAGGAAAAAGUACUGUGUUUUCCCACUGAUGUGAAGAAUAAAUGGAGGAAACAACUCCACACCGCAGCCCCAGUCCACAAGAGGGCGCUGUAGAAGUUAACCAGUGGCGUCCUGUUCCAGUUUCACAUAUAUAUUCUGGACAUGGUUUGAAUGCGGUUUUGAUGUGCCAUCUCGGCGUGUGCAAAAGUUUGAAUUACAAACAAGCAAAAUUCUAACAAACAUCUACAGCUCUUUACUUGUCUGCUUUCAACCUUUUCCUGGACUGCUGAUGUGGAUCCCGUGAUGCACGUUUUCGGAGGUGCGUUCGCUUUUAAUUUGUUUUGCAGCCAGGUGCACAGGUGUUCUGAUUGUCCUGUUCAGAAGAUAUUCCAGGCCGUGUGAGGGCGCACAAUUUACAUACUGUAAUACUACAGCACACAUCUGUUGUGUGCUGUAGUAUUACCUAAUGCUAACUGAUGCACUUGAAAAUAUGAAUGCUGAGUGAUAAAAUGAAUUAAAAACCCCAGCCCCACCAUACAAAAAACAAAUAUACUGUUGUACAAAAGUUGCAAACGGUGAACUGGCAUUGCUCUGUACUGUAGGGUGAGAAACAGGCACUUUUUCAUUACAAUUAAAAUAACCUACAACCCCUACCAAAAUUCUUGUUCUGGUUAACCUCCUACCUUCUCCAGCUGUGCUCUCCACAUUGUUGAACUUUUCCACAAUGCAAGUGACAAGAGCCGCCCUAUCCUACAGUAUGUGAAAGAUCACAUAAUCCCCUGUGAUUCAGAAGUUCAGAUCAGGCUGGUGUCAUUGCAACCUUCCAUUUUAAGAGGGAGAGUAGUGAAAUAAGCAACUUGCAGACCCCAGAUGCAGCCCACACCAACCUGCAUAGAUUUUUUUCUGAUGCUAGUUUAUUCAAAUUGUUCUGUGUUUUUGUUUACAUGUAACACACGACUUAAUAAAAUGGGUUUAUACAAAUGCUGUCCAUUUUGCAGGCUCUCCAGCAGAACGGCUCCCAUCUUCACCCUUCUUGAAUUCAACUCUCGGCUUCACAGUCAAUUUGUAGAGAUGCACGCUGACUACAUCCAGGGACUUCUUUGCAAAUCCUCUGUGGACGGCUCCUGCUGUUAUUACUUAAAGUAGAUGAACAAUUGCUUUGUAUGCCAAAUAAAGUAAAAAUAUGAGUACAUAUAGUACAAAUGAUCUUGAGCAACCCUGGGGAGAUGGACAGCUUCAUUUGUUCCAAUAAGAAAGUAAAAAUUGAAAAAAACUCCCAUGACCCUUUUAAAUAAAAGUAAGAAAAGUUACAGACAUUUGGUCCAUCUAGCCUAUGUGGUAGUUAGUAAGUAAUUGAUGAUAGAAUCUCAUCCAGCCUUUUCUUUCAACAAUAUGGUUGGGUAGCUUAUUCUUCAACUCUGUGUAAAAAUGUGCUGUUUCUUGUUUCUCCUCCUGAUGCUGUUGCUUCACCUCUUAAAUAUAAAUAGAGGUUAAAAGGGUGGUAAAGGUCA